CCUACGGGAGGCAGCAGUAGGGAAUAUUGCUCAAUGGGGGAAACCCUGAAGCAGCAACGCCGCGUGGAGGAUGAAGGUCUUCGGAUCGUAAACCUCUUUCGUCAGAGAAGAUAAUGACGGUUUCUAAUCAACAAUCACUGGCCAAUACCGUGCCAGCAGCCGCGGUAAUACGGAGGGUGCAAGCGUUACUCGGAAUCACUGGGCGUAAAGAGCGCGUAGGCGGGAUGGCAAGUCAGGUGUGAAAUCCUAUGGCUUAACCAUAGAACUGCAUUUGAAACUGGUAUUCUAGAGUGUGGGAGAGGUGGGUGGAAUUCUUGGUGUAGGAGUAAAAUCCGUAGAGAUCAAGAGGAAUACUCAUUGCGAAGGCGACCUGCUAGAACAUAACUGACGCUGAUGCGCGAAAGCGUGGGGAGCAAACAGGAUUAGAUACCCUUGUAGUC
RNAcentral lists this ribosomal RNA (440 nucleotides) under uncultured bacterium. RNAcentral describes it as "partial 16S ribosomal RNA". It matches the Rfam family "Bacterial small subunit ribosomal RNA", at positions 338 to 795 of the family's 1533-position model. The record is from RNAcentral.